RNAcentral lists this ribosomal RNA (375 nucleotides) under uncultured bacterium. RNAcentral describes it as "bacterial SSU rRNA". It matches the Rfam family "Bacterial small subunit ribosomal RNA", at positions 434 to 793 of the family's 1533-position model. The record is from RNAcentral.
CAGCAGUGAGGAAGGUGGGUAUGUUAAUAGCAUACUCAUUUGACGUUAGCUGCAGAAGAAGCACCGGCUAACUCCGUGCCAGCAGCCGCGGUAAUACGGAGGGUGCGAGCGUUAAUCGGAAUUACGUGGGACGUAAAGCGCAUGCAGGUUGGUUUGUUAAGUCAGAUGUAGAAACGGCCCGGGGCUACAACCUACGGAAUUGCUAUUUAGAAACGUGGACAAACUAGAGUACUGUAGAGGGGGUAGAAUUUCAGGUGUAGCGGUGAAAUGCGUAGAGAUCUGAAGGAAUACCGGUGGCGAAGGCGGCCCCCUGGACAGAUACUGACACUCAGAUGCGAAAGCGUGGGGAGCAAACAGGAUUAGAUACCCUGGUAG